CACUCUGCAGGCCUCCUAGCGCCAGCGACCACAAGGGCACCGCCCCGCCCCGCCUUUCCAUGACGCAGCGCGUGGAGGGCGGGGCGGAGUACGGGAGCGGGGAGGAGCACGCUGAGGAGCACGGAGAGGAGCAGGAUUUCAUUUGUAAGCCUGAGCACUGAGGGUUCCAGCGACUCGCCUGAAGGUACAUAGGUGGAACCAGAGUCCAGCUCUGCCAGUGUCACUGGGCUUCCCCACUGAUCAUGGCACCCAGCCUCCAGAUCUCCACCAUUCAUACCCAUGGACCAGCAUCCCCCAAGGCAGCAGAAUACUGAACCCAGAAUCAGCUAAUUUGAAGGUCCCCACAGUACAAGAGAUUGAAUCCAGCGGUGCUCUGCCACUGAAUUUAGCCCUUUUUAACACUCACUAGGUUGCCCCAGGCUGGUCUUGAAUAUGCAAUCCUUCUGCCUAUCCUCCUGAGAUGUUGGGAUUACAAGCAUGUGCCACUGGGCCCUGCUGUUGCUAAUAAAUUUUAAGACACCACAGAGAAUAUGAGAAGGGUCAGAAUGUUAAAGAUGGGUAAAUAUUUGCCUAAUGUUCUGUCAAACUGGAUUCUGGUAGAUUGGCAAACGUAGGGCAUGAUUAUACAACAAGUGAUUUGUGAGCACUUACAGGGAAAGGUAGA
Molecule: long non-coding RNA, 664 nt
Organism: Sciurus carolinensis (gray squirrel)
Lineage: Eukaryota; Metazoa; Chordata; Mammalia; Rodentia; Sciuridae
Exons: 3
Source: RefSeq, a predicted model, not a curated record